ACUAAUGUGAUUUACUCAUUUGAGACUAUGGCAUGAAAAUUUAUAAUACUGUUAUCAAUGUUUUUAAUCAGUAGAAUUCGUCUUAGAAAAUCGAAAGAACCUACUUCAACACACAUUUAUAGAAUUAUCUUCAUAUAUGAAGAUGCUGUAGUAUAUUAUACUAAAGUACUUGGAGUUAAUAUGUGGCUGAGCACGAGCAUGGUCUCAACCAAAUGACUGAAACCAGUGAAAAAAUAAUAAUAAACGAUUUUAUGAAGUACAAAGUGUAAAUGACACAUACGAAUUUAUACAUACAUAAGAUUUUGUGUCCGGUUAAUGAAACCCCUGUUUACGGUGGACCUUCAUAAUCAUCCAAUAAAUAACAAAAAUAUUUAAA
Molecule: long non-coding RNA, 376 nt
Organism: Octopus bimaculoides (California two-spot octopus)
Lineage: Eukaryota; Metazoa; Mollusca; Cephalopoda; Octopoda; Octopodidae
Source: RefSeq, a predicted model, not a curated record